Molecule: ribosomal RNA, 482 nt
Filed under: uncultured bacterium
Lineage: Bacteria
Description: partial 16S ribosomal RNA
Rfam family: Bacterial small subunit ribosomal RNA
Source: RNAcentral
AUUGAACGCUGGCGGCAUGCCUUACACAUGCAAGUCGAACGGUAACGGGCCUUCGGGUGCCGACGAGUGGCGAACGGGUGAGUAAUACAUCGGAACGUGCCCGAUCGUGGGGGAUAACGAGGCGAAAGCUUUGCUAAUACCGCAUACGAUCUACGGAUGAAAGCAGGGGACCGCAAGGCCUUGCGCGGACGGAGCGGCCGAUGGCAGAUAAGGUAGUUGGUGGGAUAAAAGCUUACCAGGCCGACGAUCUGUAGCUGGUCUGAGAGGAUGAUCAGCCACACUGGGACUGAGACACGGCCCAGACUCCUACGGGAGGCAGCAGUGGGGAAUUUUGGACAAUGGGCGCAAGCCUGAUCCAGCCAUGCCGCGUGCAGGAUGAAGGCCUUCGGGUUGUAAACUGCUUUUGUACGGAACGAAAAGCCUUCUUUUAAUACAGGAGGGUCAUGACGGUACCGUAAGAAUAAGCACCGGCUAACUACGUG